UCUAAAAAAAAAGCGUUGUUAAGUCCUAAUCGUGGCGCUUAACAGUGGUGACCCAGGAAGGAGUAGUUUAUUGGAAAAUGGGAAUCCGCCCCCAAAAACUUGUCAAUUCAAGUCCCACCACCGCCAUCAGCAUGGACCCUAAUCCAAUGGCAGCUGCUGACUAAAAACCUGUUCUUUUCUUCUCAUUAAUUCAUUUGAUUUAUUCAUUUCCCCAAUUCACCACUUUACCCAACUUGUUUCUCUUCUCUUCCCCCAAACUUAAUUUAGGGUUUGGGUAUUCGCCCCCGCCACCCCCUUCCCACCUUCUUUCCACACUCAACGACUUCGUCGCAGUUCCUCAAUACCCUUUUCGAUUCCCUCAGAAGUCGUAGUCCCUGCAGCUCAAAGUUUCAAUUUUUCUCAAUCCCCUUUCCGGGUCUUCUCCUUUUCAGAAACCCUAAGUUCCCAUUAUUGAUUUAUUUCGUGUUGGAUAUCUUGGAUUGUUGAUCUGAUCGGCUUGCAUUCGUGUUGAGGAGAAUUCUUUCGGAUUGUUCGAUUAGCGAAUUCUGGUGGAGCUGGGAUAAAAAGGAAAAUCUUUAUUUAGUGGCUAUUUUCAAAGAUUUCCUCAGGUGCCUGUUCUGCUGGAUAUAGCCGUAAAAGAUGGUACGAUUUUGCCAUCCCUUUGACCCUUAUCAAUCAUCCGGUGAUCAUUUUUGGUAUGGUCUGAAAAAGUUUAAACCGAUUUGAUUGCAUCACUGGUCUUUGCCUGUAUUUUCUCCAUUUUUGAUUUCUAGCAUGGAGAAAGACACAAUUCUGAUAUUGCUGAGUUACAUUUUUUCUUUACAUAAAUUGGUGGUUGCAUGUGUGAAGAUAAUAAGUUGUCUGCACUUUCACAAGAUACUUGUGAUUUGUUUUAUAUAUUUACUGAGGAGUCUUUGACCCAAAUCCUCUAAAUUGUGUCCCAGAAGGAUUCCUUUGAUUCAUGUUGUAAUGAUAAUGAUGCCUGUCUGACCAAAGGAAGGUUCUUGUAA
Molecule: long non-coding RNA, 1010 nt
Organism: Arachis duranensis
Lineage: Eukaryota; Viridiplantae; Streptophyta; Magnoliopsida; Fabales; Fabaceae
Exons: 3
Source: RefSeq, a predicted model, not a curated record